GGCUGACCUACAGCUCCCAGACGACAGCCAUCCUGGGCGCACUGCUGGGCAGCUGCUGCCCCCAGCUCCAGGUCCUGGAGGUGAGCACCGGCAUCAACCGUAAUAGCAUUCCCCUUCAGCUGCCUGUCGAGGCUCUGCAGAAAGGCUGCCCUCAGCUCCAGCCUGGACCUUGCCCCCAGGUGCUGCGGCUGUUGAACCUGAUGUGGCUGCCCAAGCCUCCGGGACGAGGGGUGGCUCCCGGACCAGGCUUCCCUAGCCUAGAGGAGCUCUGCCUGGCGAGCUCAACCUGCAACUUUGUGAGCAACGAGGUCCUGGGCCGCCUACUCCACGGCUCUCCCAACCUGCGCUUACUGGAUCUUCGUGGCUGUGCGCGCAUCACGCCGGCUGGCCUUCAGGAUCUGCCAUGUCGGGAGCUGGAGCAGCUUCAUCUGGGCCUGUAUGGCACGUCAGACCGGCUGACUCUAGCCAAGGAGGGCAGCCCCUUUUUGAC
RNAcentral lists this unclassified non-coding RNA (490 nucleotides) under Homo sapiens (human). RNAcentral describes it as "F-box and leucine rich repeat protein 6 (ENSG00000285442.2)". The record is from RNAcentral. Lineage: Eukaryota; Metazoa; Chordata; Mammalia; Primates; Hominidae.